Molecule: long non-coding RNA, 1732 nt
Organism: Mytilus californianus (California mussel)
Lineage: Eukaryota; Metazoa; Mollusca; Bivalvia; Mytilida; Mytilidae
Exons: 2
Source: RefSeq, a predicted model, not a curated record
GUUAAGUUUUUAUACGACCGCAAAAAAUUUUUGCGGUCGUAUAUUGGUAUGACGUUGGCGUUGGCGUCGUCGUCGUCGUCUGGCGUCGUCCGGCGUCGUCCGAAGACACAUUAGUUUUCGCACUCUAACUUUAGUUUAAGUGAAUGGAUCUCUAUGAAAUUUUACCAUAAGGUUCAAUACCACAAAAGGAAGGUGGGGAUUGAUUUUGGGGGUUAUGGUACCAACAGUUAAGCAAAAAGGGGCCAAAAAUAAGCAUUUUUGUAACUUCCAGACAUAACUUGUGUGUUAGUGUAUGAAUCUCUCUGACAUUGUACCACAAGGUUCCAUAUCACACAGGGAAUGCUGGGACUGAUUUUGGGGGUAAUUGCCUCAAAAUAUUAGGAAUUACUUAGGGGCCAAAAAAGGGGCAAAAAACAAGCAUUUUUCUAGUUUCAUGACAAUAACUUGUGUGUAAGUGUAUGGAUCUUUCUGAAAUUGUACUACAAGGUUCCAUAUCACAAAGGGAAAGCUGGAAUUGAGUUUGGGGGUAAUUGCCCAAAACGUUAAGGAAUAAGGGGCCAAAAAGGGGCCAAAAAUAAGCAUUUUUCUAGUUUCCAGACAAUAACUUGUGUUCAAGUGUAUGGAUCUUUCUGAAAUUGUACAACAAGGUUCCAUAUCACAAAGGGAAAGCUGGAAUUGAGUUUGGGGGUAAUUGCCCAAAACGUUAAGGAAUAAGGGGCCAAAAAGGGUGCAAAAAUAAGCAUUUUUCUAGUUUCCAGACAAUAACUUGUAUGUAAGUGUAUGGAUCUCUCUGAAAUUGUACUGCAAGGUACCAUACCACAAAGGGAAGGCUGGGAUUGAUUUUGGGGGUAAUUGCCUAAUCUAACCGUGUAUUUAGAUUCUUUAUUUUUGGUCCCGUUUUCAAAUUGGUCUACAUUAAGGUCCAAAGGGUCCAAAAUUAAAUUUAGUUUGAUUUUAACAAAAAUUGAAUUCUUGGGGUUCUUUGAUAUGCUGAAUCUAAACAUGCACUUAGUUUUUUGAUUAUGGGCCCAGUAUUCAAGUUGGUCCAAAUCGGGGUCCAAAAUUAAACUUUGUUUGAUUUCAACAAAAAUUGAAUAUAUGGGGUUCUUCGAUAUGCUGAAUCUAACCAUGUAUUUAGAUUUUUGAUAUUUGGGCCCGGUUAUCAAAUUGGUCCACAUUGAGGUUUAAAGGGUCCAAAAUUGAACUUUAUUUGAUUUCAUCAAAAAUUGAAUUCUUGGGGUUCUUUGAUAUGCUGAAUCUAACCAUGUAUUUAGAUUUUGGAUAUUGGAAUACCACAAAGGGAUGGUAAGAAUUGUCUUUGGGAGUUAUGGCUCAAACCGUUAAGGAAUAAGGUGCAAAAAAGGGGGGGAAAAGGGUUUCCAGGUUAAUGGACAAUUACUUAAGUACAAAACAUAAUUUUAAAGGCAGUGUAAGGUUGGUAAUUGAAACUCAUUUGAAUAUCUCACCUAAACUGCUUUUAAGUUAUGUAUAUUGGAAAUUUGCCAAAAACUUUAUUAUUAAUAAAUUCCAUUGGAAAUUUGCCAAUAACUUUAGUUUAAUGAACUUCAUUGGAAAUUUGCCAAUAUAAAAUGUUGCUGAUGAAGCGUUUUUGUUUAUCUCACCUAAACUGCUUUUAAAUUAUGUAUAUUGGAAAUUUGCCAAAAACUUUAUUGUUAAUAAAUUCCAUUGGAAAUUUGCUAAUAACUUUAGUUUAAUAAACUUCAUUGCAUUU